RNAcentral lists this unclassified non-coding RNA (98 nucleotides) under Kaistella antarctica. Its description in RNAcentral is "Chryseobacterium antarcticum Flavo-1 RNA". The record is from RNAcentral. Lineage: Bacteria; Pseudomonadati; Bacteroidota; Flavobacteriia; Flavobacteriales; Weeksellaceae.
UUCUAUCCCCGAUGGAAGCGGCACCCCGCGAUGAUAUAUGUCAUGAAUUUUAUGCAAGUUUUUCUCAAUCGCUGAUAGAGCGGACAGCGGGACGGGUU